This 685-nucleotide ribosomal RNA is filed under the name uncultured Gammaproteobacteria bacterium. RNAcentral's name for it is "bacterial SSU rRNA". It matches the Rfam family "Bacterial small subunit ribosomal RNA", at positions 699 to 1384 of the family's 1533-position model. Lineage: Bacteria; Pseudomonadati; Pseudomonadota; Gammaproteobacteria. The record is from RNAcentral.
GGAAGGAACAUCAGUGGCGAAGGCGACGCCCUGGCUUGAUACUGACACUGAGGUGCGAAAGCGUGGGAGCAAACAGGAUUAGAUACCCUGGUAGUCCACGCCGUAAACGAUGUCUACUAGCCGUUGGGGGACUUGAUCCCUUAGUGGCGAAGCUAACGCGAUAAGUAGACCGCCUGGGGAGUACGGUCGCAAGAUUAAAACUCAAAUGAAUUGACGGGGGCCCGCACAAGCGGUGGAGCAUGUGGUUUAAUUCGACGCAACGCGAAAAACCUUACCUGGUCUUGACAUCCUGUGAACUUUCUAGAGAUAGAUUGGUGCCUUCGGGAACACAGUGACAGGUGCUGCAUGGCUGUCGUCAGCUCGUGUCGUGAGAUGUUGGAUUAAGUCCCGUAACGAGCGCAACCCUUGUCCUUAUUUGCCAGCACGUAAUGGUGGGAACUCUAAGGAGACUGCCGGUGACAAACCGGAGGAAGGUGGGGACGACGUCAAGUCAUCAUGGCCCUUAUGACCAGGGCUACACACGUGCUACAAUGGGGCGUACAGAGGGUUGCUAAGCCGCGAGGUGGAGCCAAUCCCAGAAAACGUUUCGUAGUCCGGAUCGAAGUCUGCAACUCGACUUCGUGAAGUCGGAAUCGCUAGUAAUCGCGAAUCAGCAUGUCGCGGUGAAUACGUUCCCGGGCCUUGU